UAUUGGGCUAAAGCGUCCGUAGCUGGCCUCGCAAGUCUAUCGGGAAAUCUGCUCGCUUAACGAGCAGGCGUCCGGUGGAAACUGCGUGGCUUGGGACCGGAAGAUCCAGAGGGUACGUCUGGGGUAGGAGUGAAAUCCCGUAAUCCUGGACGGACCGCCGGUGGCGAAAGCGCUCUGGAAAGACGGAUCCGACGGUGAGGGACGAAAGCUCGGGUCACGAACCGGAUUAGAUACCCGGGUAGUCCGAGCUGUAAACGAUGUCUGCUAGGUGUGCCACAGGCUACGAGCCUGUGGUGUGCCGUAGGGAAGCCGUGAAGCAGACCGCCUGGGAAGUACGUCCGCAAGGAUGAAACUUAAAGGAAUUGGCGGGGGAGCACUACAACCGGAGGAGCCUGCGGUUUAAUUGGACUCAACGCCGGACAUCUCACCAGCAUCGACAACGUGCCGUGAAGGUCAGUGUGAUGAGCUUACUGGAGCCGUUGAGAGGAGGUGCAUGGCCGCCGUCAGCUCGUACCGUGAGGCGUCCUGUUAAGUCAGGCAACGAGCGAGACCCGCACUCCUAAUUGCCAGCAACACCCUUGUGGUGGUUGGGUACAUUAGGAGGACUGCCAGUGCCAAACUGGAGGAAGGAACGGGCAACGGUAGGUCAGUAUGCCCCGAAUGUGCUGGGCGACACGCGGGCUACAAUGGCCGAGACAGUGGGAUGCAACCCCGAAAGGGGACGCUAAUCUCCGAAACUCGGUCGUAGUUCGGAUUGAGGGCUGAAACUCGCCCUCAUGAAGCUGGAUUCGGUAGUAAUCGCGCCUCAGAAGGGCGCGGUGAAUACGUCCCUGCUCCUUGCACACACCGCCCGUCAAAGCACCCGAGUGAGGUCCGGAUGAGGCCCUGAUACAGGUCGAAUCGAC
RNAcentral lists this ribosomal RNA (905 nucleotides) under Natronorubrum daqingense. Its description in RNAcentral is "bacterial SSU rRNA". It matches the Rfam family "Archaeal small subunit ribosomal RNA", at positions 502 to 1414 of the family's 1478-position model. Lineage: Archaea; Methanobacteriati; Methanobacteriota; Halobacteria; Halobacteriales; Natrialbaceae. The record is from RNAcentral.